UUUGCAACAACAGCACAACCCCUCUAAUGAUUCCUAUUUCUCUUAGUGAUCACCUGCCUUCCCAUGUUCUAGACUCCAGACUCUGAGGUCAAUUUUGAGCCUCUUUUCUCUUUUGCCCCUAUAUCUAAUGAAUCACCAAGCCCCACCCCUCAGUUCAAAUCUGGCCCUUCCUCUCCAUAUCUAUCCCUAAUAGCCUGAUUUGCAUUGAUUAUUCCCUAACCAAUCUUUCUCGCUCUCGUGUUUUUCUUACUGCCAACCCAUGCCAGACCUGUGGAAAUGUUCAUCUUGGCACCUAGCUGUAAUUACACACUUCACUGGUCCCAAACAAACUUCCACUGACUCACGCUUCUUGCUCAACACAAGGCAAUUCCUCAAAGUAACAUUCAGGUUCCUACACGGUAGGGUUGAGGCUUGGCUCAGACGGUGUGAGGGGGUGGGGAGAGGGCGGCCCUCCGGAUGGCAUGAUAACGCGUCAGCUCAGGGUGGGAGAAAAUGUGAGUCACCUGCUUGUUCUCAGUAAGCAGCAGAGAGUAUAUAAAGAGAAUGGGUAACUCCGUGCUAAAUUGCAAAAAAUACCAAAAGUCACACGGGCAUGAAUAACAUUCAAUCACAAUUUAUCAAGCAUUUUCUAAAGUGCCAGAUCCUAUGGCUGGGUGUUGGGGAUGUGGUGAACGUUUGAAAGGUCUGAGAGAAAACACAGAUUCUAAUCAUGAUGAUGAUGAUCCUACUGGGCUUUAUAGUCUAUGGUGUAUUUUCACAUAUAUUGUUAAUUGGAUCCUUUCAGAAGCCUGUGCAGGAGCUCCCAGAGACAGGCUGAGUCUCUCCCCUUCACCAGAGCUCACCCCUGAGGCUCUGGGAGGACAGAGGACAGUCAAGAUCGCCAAACAAGAAAGUCCCAGCCUGACCUGACCUCCUUUCUCUCUUCACUUCCUGUUUGUAAGCCCUCUUGGACGGAUGCAGAAAUGGAAGCCCAGAGACGUUAACUAACUUGUACAAAGUCACACAGCUACUAAGGGGCAAAGCCAGAAUUCAAGCCAGACUUCAGUCUCCCAUUCCAGGGCUCUUUUUUCACAGCACCCAAGCCACCUAUGGAUCGGCCCUCCCGCCUGAACCUACGCUCUGAAGUAGGUUCAGGCUCUGACGGUGACUCACAUGAGAAGAGGUCUUGGCUCAAGGGCCCUCAGCACAGGAAGUUAAUCGAGCUAUUGAAGUUGGGCCAAGGAAAGGCCCAUAAGCUCAGAGAUCGCCUCGCCAGAGAGAAGCUUUAU
Herpailurus yagouaroundi (jaguarundi) is the source of this 1268-nucleotide long non-coding RNA. RefSeq lists it as uncharacterized. The transcript has 3 exons. NCBI's taxonomy places the organism in Eukaryota, Metazoa, Chordata, Mammalia, Carnivora, Felidae. The record is from RefSeq and is a predicted model, not a curated record.